GUCCGUUGCAGCAAAGACACCCGACAGUGUAUAAAUGGACAUUUUGUCAUACUGUCGAGACAGUUACAUCGAUAUUACUGCUGCGAAAAUGGCACAUUUCUCGUCUCCUGCAAGGUUUAUCAGCAUAGAUGACCCCGAGGUGGACUCCAUCAGGAGCCAGUGCCAGGUGUUGAGUUAUUCAUGCAGAGAUCGCAGUGUGCCCAGGGUUGAAUUAAAUCAACAAUGUGUGGAGGUGAGCC
Doryrhamphus excisus (bluestripe pipefish) is the source of this 239-nucleotide non-coding RNA. The record is from RefSeq and is a predicted model, not a curated record. NCBI's taxonomy places the organism in Eukaryota, Metazoa, Chordata, Actinopteri, Syngnathiformes, Syngnathidae.